AUUUUUUAUUAUUUUUUAUUUUUUUAUUUUUUCAUUUUUUUGCUUCUUUUUUUUUGUUUUUUUUUUUUUUGUUUUUUUCGUUUUUUUUUUUUUUUUUCCCACUCCUUAUUAAGAUAUAAAUGUGUUCAUAUUAGUAAGUUGAUAAUAAUGAUAUAAGUAUUCACAUAUGCAUGCACAUAUGUUAUCAUUCCAUUUGUAUAAGUACAGAAAAUAAGAGCGUAAUAAAAAUGAUAAACAAUGUCUGUUGAACCUUUGGUUCCCCCUACUAUAAAAAUUAAAAGAUCAAUUUGUGUCAAGUAUUUUAAAUUUUUAUACUACUUAAAAAAAAUCGAAUUGGAUAAUAAAUGGAAUAGAUAUUACUGCUGUUUAUUUAGAAGUACAGACAAUGAAAAGAGCACACUAAAAAUAUUAGCCACUAAAGUUAUUCUUCAAAAUGCAAAAGUAGAUGUGAACGACUUGAGAGAGAGUGUGGAAGAGUCAUAUACGUAUAGGCCAUACAAUAAUAGACCAUACAAUAAUAGACCAUACAAUAAUAGACCAUAUAGACAUAGGUUACAUAAGACGGAGUUAUAUACAAAAUUAGUUAACCAUUUAGUGUCAAAGCCAUUAAAAAUAGCGUCCUUCGAUUUUGAUGGCACUGUUAUUAAUACUAGUCAUAGUAAACAUACAAAUAACAUAAUCGUAGAAGAAACGAUAUUUAAAACGAUUUACAAUCUAAAAAAAAAAAAAAAAAAUGAAUAUGAUAUGGUAAUUUUUUCAAAUCAAACUAAUGUUUCCUCAUGCGUACACGAUUUUGAACAUAUAAAGUUUUUUAAACUUCCCAAGUUUUUUGCUAAAAUAGAAAAUUUUAUUAACUUAUUAAAUUAUUUUAAUUCUUUUUUUUUAUUACAAAAUGAUAACAAUAAUAUAAAUACUGAUCUUAGUUUAAUGAUUUCAAAAAAAAGAAAAAAAAAAAAAAAAUGUAUAUAUAUAACCUUAUGUAUGACACCAAUGGGUGAUAAAUUUCAAAAAAAUAUUUCUAUGAGACCUGUUUAUUUUUUUAGGAGAUAUAAUUUUUUAAAUGUGCCGAACAUAAUGUUAGAGAAAGGUAGGGUUAGAGGGGGACCACGUAUAAAUUCAAAAACGAAAGGAGCGAAAAUUAAAAAUUGGACAUGUAAAGUUUAUAUAAAUAAUGUUGGUAAUGUUGGUAAUGUUGGUAAUGUUGGUAAUGUUGGUAAUGUUGGUAAUGUUGGUAAUUUUGGUAUUAAUAAGAAAAGUGGAAAUAGCACCAACUGUGACUAUAACGGUGAUACUACCAACCUACAUUUUAAAAAUUAUUUUUUUGCGGUUGGCAAAUGUGAUAUAAACGAAAUUGAUAUAUACACUAAACCUAAUGAAGGUGAAUUUUUUUUAUAUAUAUGUUUAAAAAGUAUAUUAUAUUUUUUAAUUUUAAAUUUUUAUUUUAAAAGUCAUAAACAUGAUAACAAAUUAAAUAAAAAGUUAAAAGAAUUUUUUUUUUUAUCUUCUGAAAUAUUUAAUAUGACUGACAUUCAAAAAUUAACAAAAAAACUUAUGAUGAAACAUUAUUAUUUUGAUGUAAAUAAAACAUGUUUAGAAAUAUUAGAUACUUAUAUCAAUACAUUGCUGAAAAAUACAAAUGAAUAUAAAUUAAUAAAAAAUAGACAUCCUGAUUUUAUAGAAUAUAUAAAUUUUUUUUUAUAUGACCAAAACCACUUCAUCAAUUCGAUAUCAAUCGAAGAAAACAAAUUAAAUGGGUUAUUAAAUAAUAACACAUUUUUAAAACAAUUAACCUUUUGCUUAAUGUAUAAAAAUAAAUUAAUUAAAAAUAUAGCUAAAACACUAGCAGAAU
Piliocolobus tephrosceles (Ugandan red Colobus) is the source of this 1849-nucleotide long non-coding RNA. NCBI's taxonomy places the organism in Eukaryota, Metazoa, Chordata, Mammalia, Primates, Cercopithecidae. The record is from Ensembl.